Molecule: ribosomal RNA, 646 nt
Filed under: uncultured bacterium
Lineage: Bacteria
Description: bacterial SSU rRNA
Rfam family: Bacterial small subunit ribosomal RNA
Source: RNAcentral
CAGUCGUACGCACUGGCCCAACUGAUUGAUGGUGCUUGCACCUGAUUGACGAUGGAUUACCAGUGAGUGGCGGACGGGUGAGUAACACGUAGGUAACCUGCCCCGGAGCGGGGGAUAACAUUUGGAAACAGAUGCUAAUACCGCAUAACAACAAAAGCCACAUGGCUUUUGUUUGAAAGAUGGCUUUGGCUAUCACUCUGGGAUGGACCUGCGGUGCAUUAGCUAGUUGGUAAGGUAACGGCUUACCAAGGCGAUGAUGCAUAGCCGAGUUGAGAGACUGAUCGGCCACAAUGGAACUGAGACACGGUCCAUACUCCUACGGGAGGCAGCAGUAGGGAAUCUUCCACAAUGGGCGCAAGCCUGAUGGAGCAACACCGCGUGAGUGAAGAAGGGUUUCGGCUCGUAAAGCUCUGUUGUUGGAGAAGAACGUGCGUGAGAGUAACUGUUCACGCAGUGACGGUAUCCAACCAGAAAGUCACGGCUAACUACGUGCCAGCAGCCGCGGUAAUACGUAGGUGGCAAGCGUUAUCCGGAUUUAUUGGGCGUAAAGCGAGCGCAGGCGGUUGCUUAGGUCUGAUGUGAAAGCCUUCGGCUUAACCGAAGAAGUGCAUCGGAAACCGGGCGACUUGAGUGCAGAAGAGGACAG